UAGGGAAUCUUCGGCAAUGGACGGAAGUCUGACCGAGCAACGCCGCGUGAGUGAUGACGGCCUUCGGGUUGUAAAGCUCUGUUAAUCGGGACGAAUGGUUUUUGUGCAAAUAGUGCGAGGAUUUGACGGUACCGGAAUAGAAAGCCACGGCUAACUACGUGCCAGCAGCCGCGGUAAUACGUAGGUGGCAAGCGUUGUCCGGAAUUAUUGGGCGUAAAGCGCGCGCAGGCGGAUUGGUCAGUCUGUCUUAAAAGUUCGGGGCUUAACCCCGUGAUGGGAUGGAAACUGCCAAUCUAGAGUAUCGGAGAGGAAAGUGGAAUUCCUAGUGUAGCGGUGAAAUGCGUAGAUAUUAGGAAGAACACCAGUGGCGAAGGCGACUUUCUGGACGAAAACUGACGCUGAGGCGCGAAAGCCAGGGGAGCGAACGGGAUUAGAUACCCCGGUAGUCCUGGCCGUAAACGAUGGGUACUAGGUGUAGGAGGUAUCGACCCCUUCUGUGCCGGAGUUAACGCAAUAAGUACCCCGCCUGGGGAGUACGACCGCAAGGUUG
This 550-nucleotide ribosomal RNA is filed under the name uncultured bacterium. Its description in RNAcentral is "bacterial SSU rRNA". It matches the Rfam family "Bacterial small subunit ribosomal RNA", at positions 355 to 896 of the family's 1533-position model. The record is from RNAcentral.